GGAUAACCUGCCCUAUCGUCUGGAGUAACCUCGGGAAACUGAGAAUAAGGCCGGAUAGUUCACGAAGCCUGGAACGGUUUGUGAAUCAAGGUAGGAUGGGUCUGCGGCGUAUCAGGUAGUAGGGGGUGUAAAGGACCCCCUAGCCUUCGACGCGUACGGGUGUUGGGAGACAUAGUCCGGAGAUGGAUUCUGAGACACGAAUCCAGACCCUACGGGGUGCAGCAGGCGCGAAAACUUCACACUGCAGGAAACUGUGAUGAGGGAACUCCAAGUGUGUGCACUAUGUGUACACUUUUAUGAACUUUUAAUCGGUUCAGGAAUAAGGGCUGGGAAAGACCGGUGCCAGCCGCCGCGGUAAUACCGGCAGCUCAAGUGGUCGUCGCUUUUAUUGGGCCUAAAACGUCCGUAGCCUGUUUGGUAAAUCUGUGGGUAAAUCAACUCGCUCAACGAGUUGAAUUCUGCAGAGACUGCCAGACUAGGGACCGGGAGAGGUGUGGGGUACUCGAGGGGUAGGGGUAAAAUCCUGUCAUCCUUCGAGGACCACCAGUUGCGAAGGCGCCACACUGGAACGGAUCCGACGGUCAGGGACGAAGCCUAGGGGCACGAACCGGAUUAGAUACCCGGGUAGUCCUAGGUGUAAACGCUGUGAACUUGGUGUCGGGGGUCCGCAAGGGGUCCCCGGUGCCGGAGUGAAGAUGUUAAGUUCACUGCCUGGGGAGUACGGUCGCAAGGCUGAAACUU
RNAcentral lists this ribosomal RNA (741 nucleotides) under uncultured Candidatus Poseidoniales archaeon. Its description in RNAcentral is "bacterial SSU rRNA". It matches the Rfam family "Archaeal small subunit ribosomal RNA", at positions 102 to 857 of the family's 1478-position model. The record is from RNAcentral. Lineage: Archaea; Methanobacteriati; Thermoplasmatota; Candidatus Poseidoniia; Candidatus Poseidoniales.